UGGGGAAUAUUGGACAAUGGGCGAAAGCCUGACCCAGCCAUGCCGCGUGUGUGAAGAAGGUCUUCGGAUUGUAAAGCACUUUAAGUUGGGAGGAAGGGCAGUAAGCGAAUACCUUGCUGUUUUGACGUUACCGACAGAAUAAGCACCGGCUAACUCUGUGCCAGCAGACCCGGCAAUACAGAGGGUGAAAGCGCUAAUUGGAAUUACUGGGCGUAAAGCGCGCGUAGGUGGUUCGUUAAGUUGAAUGUGAAAGCCCCGGGCUGAACCUGGGAAAUGCAUCCAAAACUGGCUAGCUAGAGUAGGGCAGAGGGUGGUGGAAUUGCCUGUGUAGGGGUGAAAUGCGUAGAUAUAGGAAAGAACAGCAGUGGCGAAGGCGACCACCUGGGCUCAUACAGACACUGAGGUGCGAAAGCGUGGGGAGCAAACAGG
This 429-nucleotide ribosomal RNA is filed under the name Pseudomonadota bacterium. RNAcentral describes it as "Proteobacteria bacterium partial 16S ribosomal RNA". It matches the Rfam family "Bacterial small subunit ribosomal RNA", at positions 355 to 776 of the family's 1533-position model. The record is from RNAcentral. Lineage: Bacteria; Pseudomonadati; Pseudomonadota.